UACCAGCACCCCGAGUGGUCGGGACGAUUAUUGGGCCUAAAGCAUCCGUAGCCGGUCAUGCAAGUCUUCCGUUAAAUCCAGCCGCUCAACCCUUGAAUGCCGGUGGAUACUGUCGGGCUAGAGUCCGGAAGAGGCGAGUGGAAUUCCCGGUGUAGCGGUGAAAUGCGUAGAUAUCUGGAGGAAUACCGUGGCGAAGGCGGCAUCCUGGACCGGCAUUGACGCUGAGGAGCGAAAGCUAGGGGAGCAAACGGG
Molecule: ribosomal RNA, 252 nt
Filed under: uncultured bacterium
Lineage: Bacteria
Description: partial 16S ribosomal RNA
Rfam family: Bacterial small subunit ribosomal RNA (bases 27-252)
Source: RNAcentral